RNAcentral lists this ribosomal RNA (497 nucleotides) under uncultured bacterium. RNAcentral's name for it is "partial 16S ribosomal RNA". It matches the Rfam family "Bacterial small subunit ribosomal RNA", at positions 28 to 507 of the family's 1533-position model. The record is from RNAcentral.
GGUGAACGCUGGCGGCGUGCCUAAUACAUGCAAGUCGAGCGGACGGACGAGAAGCUUGCUUUUCUGAUGUUAGCGGCGGGCGGGUGAGUAACACGUGGAUCACCUACCUAUAAGACUGGGAUAACUUCGAAAAACCGGAGCUAAUAUCGGAUAAUAUUUUUAACCAAAUGGUUCAGGAAUAGAAGACGGUCUUGCUAUCACUUAUAGAUGUAUCCGCGCUGCAUUAGAUAGUUGGUAAGGUAACGGCUUACCAAGGCAACGAUGCAUAGCCGAACUGAGAGGGUGACCGGUCACAGUGGAACGGAGACAAGCUCCAGAACCCGAAGGGAGGCAGCAGCCGGGAAUCUUCCGCAAUGGGCGAAAGCGUGACGUAGCAACGCCGCGUGAGUCAUGAAGGUCUUCGGAUCGUAAAACUCUGUUAUUAGGGAAGAACAUAUGUGUAAGUAACGGUGAACAUCUUGACGGUACCUAAUCAGAAAGCAACGGCUAACUACGUG